RNAcentral lists this ribosomal RNA (481 nucleotides) under uncultured bacterium. Its description in RNAcentral is "partial 16S ribosomal RNA". It matches the Rfam family "Bacterial small subunit ribosomal RNA", at positions 29 to 523 of the family's 1533-position model. The record is from RNAcentral.
AGUGAACGUUGGCGGCGUGGAUUAGGCAUGCAAGUCGAGCGAGAACCCCGCAAGGGGGGACAGCGGCGCAAGGGACAGUAAUGUGUAGAUCAUCUGCCCUCAGGUCCGGGAUAGCUGCGGGAAACUGCAGGUAAUACCGGAUAACAUCUCCGGAUCAAAGGUGUGAUUCCGCCUGAGGAUGAGUCUGCAUCCUAUUAGCUAGUUGGCAGGGUAGCGGCCUACCAAGGCAUUGAUGGGUAGCGGGUGUGAGAGCACGACCCGCGUCAUUGGGACUGAGACACUGCCCAGACACCUACGGGUGGCUGCAGUCGAGAAUCUUCGGCAAUGGGCGCAAGCCUGACCGAGCGACGCCGCGUGUGGGAUGAAGGCCUUCGGGUUGUAAACCACUGUCAGAGGGGAUGAAAUGCAGGUGGGUUCUCCCAUCUGUUUGACAUAGCCUCAGAGGAAGGACGGGCUAAGUUCGUGCCAGCAGCCGCCGUAA